CCUACGGGGGGCUGCAGUGGGGAAUAUUGCACAAUGGGGGAAACCCUGAUGCAGCGACGCCGCGUGAGCGAUGACGUAUUUCGGUAUGUAAAGCUCUAUCAGCAGGGAAGAAAAUGAAGGUACCUGACUAAGAAGCCCCGGCUAAAUACGUGCCAGCAGCCGCGGUAAUACGUAGGGGACAAGCGUUAUCCGGAUUUACUGGGUGUAAAGGGAGCGUAGAGGGCGAUGCAAGCCAGAUGUGAAAGCCCGGGGCUCAACCCCGGGACUGCAUUUGGUACUGUAUAGCUGGAGUGUCGGAGAGGCAGGCGGAAUUCCUAGUGUAGCGGUGAAAUGCGUAGAUAUUAGGAAGAACACCAGUGGCGAAGGCAGCCUACUGGACGAUGACUGACGUUGAGGCUCGAAAGCGUGGGGAGCAAACAGGAUUAGAUACCCUGGUAGUC
This 440-nucleotide ribosomal RNA is filed under the name uncultured bacterium. RNAcentral describes it as "partial 16S ribosomal RNA". It matches the Rfam family "Bacterial small subunit ribosomal RNA", at positions 338 to 795 of the family's 1533-position model. The record is from RNAcentral.